AUAUGCCAUACAUAUUUACACACUUAAUCACGAAUUGUACAUUUUUAUCAGUUCUGUUGUAUAUUAUAUUCAAGCAUGAUACUGAUAAAAAAAAUUACAAUUUAUUUUAACACGUUUUUCUAUGUACUACUUUACAUAUUAUAAGAAAAACAUUGAACUUGUGAGUUUAUAUUGUUUCUUUUUUUAUUUUAUAAACAAUAUAUAUAUAUAUAUAUAGAAUUAUCUACGUCGUAUGUAGUUAAAAUGCGAUAUAUAUUGCUAGCUACAAUGUAAUAACUUAGUUAUUUUUUUUUUUUUUAUAUAACAUAUGAUUGUCCAAAGUUUUAUCACUAUAUUACAAUUUCUUUCUACCUAUUUUUGUUUUGCUUGUUCCUCUUUUAAAUCAAAAAGCAAUCUUUUUUUUUCUCCAGUCAAACAUACUCUCUUCCUCAAUUUGAUCAAAUUGAAUGUUACUUUUUUUUUUAUCAAUAUUUUUUUUUUUUUUUUUUUUUUUUUUUUUUUUUUUUUUAUGUAAGCAUUAUUAUUAUCACUAUCACUACUAUCAUUGCUAUCUUCUUCAUUUUUAUUAUUAUCUGUCAGACUCCUACUUAACUCAUAAUCUUCCAGAUAUUUUUUUUUUUUUAAAUUUAAUAGUUUAUAUAUUUCAUCAAUAUUAAAUUUUUUAUUUUUUUCUUGUUUUGUUUGAUUAUUGUCUUUAAUUAAAUUUUUAUUUUUAUUAAAUUCGUUUAAUUCAAUUAAUAUGUUUUGUUCCUGUUCAUCAUUUUGUUCCUUUUUUUCAUCAUAUAAAUUUCCUAAUAUAUAUUUUUUUUUUUCAAUUAGCAUUUUAUGUAGAUAAUCUAGUUCCUCAUAGUAUGCCGUAUCUGAUUGUUUAUAAUGUGUUAUAUCAUAUAAAUCAUUAUUUAAUAAGUUCAUAAUAUUAUUUUCUUUUUCGUUUUUAUUAUCUUUACAUCUGUUUAUCAUAUGAUUAUUAUUAUUAUUAUCACUAUUAUCCAAAAUAUCAUUACUAUCAGAAUAAUAUCCUUCUCUUUCUUCUUUCGAAUCACUUUCAUCAUAUUUUAUUAUACUAUUAUCACUUUUUUCUAGUCUUUUUCUUUUUUUUUUUAAUUUCUUAUGUAAAUCUUUAGUUUCUGCAAGGUCUAUAUUAUUACUACUUUUGUCUUCAACAAAUUCAUAUUUUUCAAAAAUUUUUAUUUGUUUAUCAUUCUCAUCAAAAGAAUUAGAACCAUCACUUUUAUUGUCAUUAUCACUAUUACUAUUAUUACUAUUUAAAGUUGUUGGUAUAUCAAAAAAAUCGGCAGGUAAAUUAUUAUUACUAUCAUCUUGUAAUUCUUUUUUAUUAUUAGUAACAAUAUGGGUGUCUACGUUUGUAUUUGAUUUAUCGUGUAUAUAUUCUAAAAAUGCGUUCUUUAAAUUGUUACGUU
This 1421-nucleotide long non-coding RNA is filed under the name Piliocolobus tephrosceles (Ugandan red Colobus). RNAcentral's name for it is "lncRNA (ENSPTEG00000007272.1)". The record is from RNAcentral. Lineage: Eukaryota; Metazoa; Chordata; Mammalia; Primates; Cercopithecidae.